GUUAUAGGAUCAAGUGACUAAGUGCACAUGGUGGAUGCCUUGGCGAUUACAGGCGAAGAAGGACGUGGUAGCCUGCGAAAAGCGGCGGGGAGCUGGCAAACGAGCUUUGAUCCGCUGAUGUCCGAAUGGGGAAACCCACUGCGCGAGCAGUAUCCUGCACUGAAUACAUAGGUGCAGAGAAGCGAACCGAGUGAACUGAAACAUCUAAGUAGCUCGAGGAAAAGAAAUCAACCGAGAUUCCGGCAGUAGCGGCGAGCGAGCCCGGAGCAGCCUUGACGAUUUAGCAUUGCAUAUAGCCGAACGCUCUGGAAAGGGCGACCGUAGCGGGUGAUAGUCCCGUAGGCGAAAUGUGCGGUGUGGAACUAGGCGUCAGACAAGUAGGGCGGGACACGUGAAAUCCUGUCUGAAGAUGGGGGGACCAUCCUCCAAGGCUAAAUACUCGUAAUCGACCGAUAGUGAACCAGUACCGUGAGGGAAAGGCGAAAAGAACCCCGGAAGGGGAGUGAAAUAGAUCCUGAAACCGUGUGCAUACAAACAGUAGGAGCCUCUUUAUGGGGUGACUGCGUACCUUUUGUAUAAUGGGUCAGCGACUUACAUUCAGUGGCAAGCUUAACCGAAUAGGGAAGGCGUAGCGAAAGCGAGUCCGAACAGGGCGUUUGAGUCGCUGGGUGUAGACCCGAAACCAGGCGAUCUAUCCAUGGUCAGGUUGAAGGCACGGUAACACGUGCUGGAGGACCGAACCCACUAAUGUUGAAAAAUUAGGGGAUGAACUGUGGAUAGGGGUGAAAGGCUAAACAAGCCUGGAAAUAGCUGGUUCUCUCCGAAAACUAUUUAGGUAGUGCCUCGCGUAUUGCUGCUGGGGGUAGAGCACUGUUAUGGCUAGGGGGUCAUGGCGAUUUACCAAACCAUGGCAAACUCCGAAUACCAGCAAGUAUGAGCGCGGGAGACAGAGCACCGGGUGCUAACGUCCGGACUCAAGAGGGAAACAACCCAGACCGCCAGCUAAGGUCCCCAAAAUUGGCUAAGUGGGAAACGAAGUGGGAAGGCGAAGACAGUCAGGAGGUUGGCUUAGAAGCAGCCAUCCUUUAAAGAAAGCGUAAUAGCUCACUGAUCGAGUCGUCCUGCGCGGAAGAUGUAACGGGGCUAAGCCAGUUACCGAAGCUGCGGGUGUGUAUCGUAAGAUAUACGCGGUAGGAGAGCGUUCUGUAAGCCUGUGAAGGUGGCUUGUAAAGGCUGCUGGAGGUAUCAGAAGUGCGAAUGCUGACAUGAGUAGCGAUAAAGGGGGUGAAAAGCCCCCUCGCCGUAAGUCCAAGGUUUCCUGCGCAACGUUCAUCGGCGCAGGGUGAGUCGGCCCCUAAGGCGAGGCAGAGAUGCGUAGCUGAUGGGAAGCUGGUUAAUAUUCCAGCACCGUCGUACAGUGCGAUGGGGGGACGGAUUGCGAAAGGUCAUCGGGGUGUUGGAAGUCCCCGUUGCUGCACUAUAGAAGGCGCUUUAGGCAAAUCCGGGCGCGAAAUUCAAGGGUGUGGCUGGAUAAGACUACGGUCUUAAACUGAUUGGAAGUGGUCCCAAGAAAAGCCUCUAAGCUCUAGCUGUACGAGACCGUACCGCAAACCGACACAGGUGGACGGGAUGAAUAUUCCAAGGCGCUUGAGAGAACUCAGGAGAAGGAACUCGGCAAAUUGAUACCGUAACUUCGGGAGAAGGUAUACCCUGGUAGUGUGAAGCGCCUGCGCGCUGAGCAUGACGGGGUCGCAGAGAAUCGGUGGCUGCGACUGUUUAUUAAAAACACAGCACUCUGCUAACACGAAAGUGGACGUAUAGGGUGUGACGCCUGCCCGGUGCCGGAAGGUUAAGUGAUGGGGUGCAAGCUCUUGAUCGAAGCCCCGGUAAACGGCGGCCGUAACUAUAACGGUCCUAAGGUAGCGAAAUUCCUUGUCGGGUAAGUUCCGACCUGCACGAAUGGCGUAACGAUGGCCACACUGUCUCCUCCUGAGACUCAGCGAAGUUGAAGUGUUUGUGAUGAUGCAAUCUACCCGCGGCUAGACGGAAAGACCCCAUGAACCUUUACUGUAGCUUUGCAUUGAACUGUGAACCGGCUUGUGUAGGAUAGGUGGGAGGCGCAGAAGAGUGGUCGCUAGACUGCUUGGAGCCGACCUUGAAAUACCACCCUGGUCUGUUUGCGGUUCUAACCUUGGCCCGUUAUCCGGGUUGGGGACAGUGCAUGGUGGGCAGUUUGACUGGGGCGGUCUCCUCCCAAAGCGUAACGGAGGAGUUCGAAGGUACGCUAGGCACGGUCGGAAAUCGUGCUGAUAGUGCAAUGGCAUAAGCGUGCUUGACUGUGAGACUGACACGUCGAACAGGUGCGAAAGCAGGACAUAGUGAUCCGGUGGUUCUGAAUGGAAGGGCCAUCGCUCAACGGAUAAAAGGUACUCUGGGGAUAACAGGCUGAUACCGCCCAAGAGUUCAUAUCGACGGCGGUGUUUGGCACCUCGAUGUCGGCUCAUCUCAUCCUGGGGCUGUAGCCGGUCCCAAGGGUAUGGCUGUUCGCCAUUUAAAGAGGUACGUGAGCUGGGUUUAAAACGUCGUGAGACAGUUUGGUCCCUAUCUGCCGUGGGCGUUGGAUACUUGACGGAGCCUGCUCCUAGUACGAGAGGACCGGAGUGGACGUACCGCUGGUGUAUCGGUUGUCAUGCCAAUGGCAUUGCCGAGUAGCUAAGUACGGAAGAGAUAACCGCUGAAGGCAUCUAAGCGGGAAACUCGUCUGAAGAUAAGGUAUCCCGGGGGCUUGACCCCCCUGAAGGGUCGUUCGAGACCAGGACGUUGAUAGGCUGGGUGUGUAAGCGCAGUAAUGUGUUUAGCUAACCAGUACUAAUUGCCCGUGCGGCUUGAUCCUAUAACCAUGCAGGUUAUG
Molecule: ribosomal RNA, 2911 nt
Filed under: Neopusillimonas aestuarii
Lineage: Bacteria; Pseudomonadati; Pseudomonadota; Betaproteobacteria; Burkholderiales; Alcaligenaceae
Description: Pusillimonas sp. DMV24BSW_D 23S ribosomal RNA
Rfam family: Bacterial large subunit ribosomal RNA
Source: RNAcentral